UCUUCACAAAAAGAAAAAACUUGCUUAGACGAAAAUCAAACUGUGGAAACUGAUAGUAUCCUCGAUUAAGAUGAUAGAGUGGGAAGCAUUUUCAUGCCCAGGUAAUAGAAUAAAUUGAAAGAAUCCACAGAAUUGAUCAUGUUAAGCCCGUUUUAAACAUGGAUUGAAAUUCUCAGCAGCUGUUCUAUGAAACAACAGCUCAAAUUUAAAAUGCUACCCAAAUGAUGAUUUUAUCUGCAAUAUGUAGUUUACGCGGAGAAAAAAUCGAACAUAAUCUUGGAAAGACACAUCUAAAUCCUAAUAAAAGAGAAUUCAAUCGCUUCAAUCAUCAAGAGUAGAGAUGCCCAGAAGAAAACAAACCAUCUUUUUGAACUCGCAGGAUGACAGCUACUCAAAUUAAUCACUUCAAUCAUUAAAAGUAGAGUUGCUUAGAAGACAAAAGGUGAUCGUUUUGAAUUCACGGGAAACAAACACAUAAUUUCCUAAUCAAUCACACGCUCUGAUACGAUAAGAUACAACACCAAAGAUCUCAAGAACUACAGAAUGGAAAAUGUCCACGACCAGAUAUUUUUAGAACUAGAAAUUAUCGAGAAAGUGAUAGUUGCAAAAACCAUAGCCCUGCCUCCUAAUCCAUAGCCCCUACCAUGUGAAUGCAUGUGUUCCAUCAAUUCCACAAAGACUCCAUCAAUUACAGGAUGAAUAUAUAUAUAUGUUGUCCUAAACUGCACGUAAUAGAGUAUACUAUAAGCAAGGAAUUUUCCAACGAAAAAAUUACCUUCCUUCAAGAAGAGCAUUUUUAAGCCAAGUAUC
Molecule: long non-coding RNA, 810 nt
Filed under: Populus trichocarpa (black cottonwood)
Lineage: Eukaryota; Viridiplantae; Streptophyta; Magnoliopsida; Malpighiales; Salicaceae
Description: long non-coding RNA (PTRI_LNC001248)
Source: RNAcentral